This 386-nucleotide ribosomal RNA is filed under the name Bitis worthingtoni. Its description in RNAcentral is "partial 16S ribosomal RNA". It matches the Rfam family "Bacterial large subunit ribosomal RNA", at positions 1998 to 2603 of the family's 2925-position model. Lineage: Eukaryota; Metazoa; Chordata; Lepidosauria; Squamata; Viperidae. The record is from RNAcentral.
GGCAAAAUGAGAGUCCAACUGUCUCUUAUAACAAAUCAAUUAAACUGAUCUCCCAGUAAAAAAGCUGGGCUACACCCAUAAGACCAGAAGACCCUGUGAAGCUUUAAUUAACCUAUUAAACCCUAUAAUAGCUAAUUUCGGUUGGGGCGACCUUGGAAUAAAAAAGAACUUCCAAACAAUGACUUAGUCAUAUAACAGGCAAACAAGCCUUAUUAGACCCAGUAUAUCUGAUUAAUGAACCAAGUUACUCCAGGGAUAACAGCGCUAUCUUCUUCAAGAGCCCAUAUCAAAAAGAAGGUUUACGACCUCGAUGUUGGAUCAGGACAUCCUAGUGGUGUAACCGCUACUAAGGGUUUGUUUGUUCAACAAUUAAUAGUCCUACGUGA